ACGGGUGCGUAACGCGUGGGAAUCUGCCCUUAGGUUCGGAAUAACAGCUGGAAACGGCUGCUAAUACCGGAUGAUAUCGCGAGAUCAAAGAUUUAUCGCCUGAGGAUGAGCCCGCGUUGGAUUAGGUAGUUGGUGGGGUAAAGGCCUACCAAGCCGACGAUCCAUAGCUGGUCUGAGAGGAUGAUCAGCCACACUGGGACUGAGACACGGCCCAGACUCCUACGGGAGGCAGCAGUGGGGAAUAUUGGACAAUGGGCGUAAGCCUGAUCCAGCAAUGCCGCGUGAGUGAUGAAGGCCCUAGGGUUGUAAAGCUCUUUUACCCGGGAAGAUAAUGACUGUACCGGGAGAAUAAGCCCCGGCUAACUCCGUGCCAGCAGCCGCGGUAAUACGGAGGGGGCUAGCGUUGUUCGGAAUUACUGGGCGUAAAGCGCACGUAGGCGGCUUUGUAAGUCAGAGGUGAAAGCCUGGAGCUCAACUCCAGAACUGCCUUUGAGACUGCAUCGCUUGAAUCCAGGAGAGGUCAGUGGAAUUCCGAGUGUAGAGGUGAAAUUCGUAGA
This 557-nucleotide ribosomal RNA is filed under the name uncultured Sphingomonas sp. RNAcentral describes it as "bacterial SSU rRNA". It matches the Rfam family "Bacterial small subunit ribosomal RNA", at positions 102 to 694 of the family's 1533-position model. Lineage: Bacteria; Pseudomonadati; Pseudomonadota; Alphaproteobacteria; Sphingomonadales; Sphingomonadaceae. The record is from RNAcentral.